Molecule: ribosomal RNA, 494 nt
Filed under: uncultured bacterium
Lineage: Bacteria
Description: partial 16S ribosomal RNA
Rfam family: Bacterial small subunit ribosomal RNA
Source: RNAcentral
GACGAACGCUGGCGGCGUGCUUAACACAUGCAAGUCGAACGGUGAAGCGCCUUCCUUUUUGGUGGGUGUGGAUGAGUGGCGAACGGGUGAGUAACACGUUAGUAACCUGCCCCCUUCUUCUGGAUAACCGAAUGAAAGUGUGGCUAAUACGGGAUAUUCUGGGUCUGUCGCAUGAUGGGUCUGGGAAAGCUAUUGUUUCGGUGGGGGAUGGGCUCGCGGACUAUCAGCUUGUUGGUGGGGUGACGGCCUACCAAGGCGGUGCGGGGUAGCCGGCCUGAGAGGGUGGACGGCCAUGCAGGGGCUGCACCGCGGCCAAGACUCCGUGAGGAGGCAGCAGGGGGUAUUAUAGCACAAUGGGCGGAAUGCUGAUGCAGCGACGCCGCGUGGAAGAUGGAGGCCUUCGGGUUGUGAACCUCUUUCGCGAGUGAAGCAGGGCUGCCUCGUUUGUGGGUGGGUUGACGGUAGCUGGAUAAGAAGCGCCGGCUAACUACGUG